AUGAGCAGAGCAAGGAAUCAGAAAGGCAUCUUCCCAAAUGAGACAGGUCCUAGGAGGAGUCAAAGGUUGUGGUCCAGAGGAGAAGGAGCUCGUGGGCAGCAGGUUCUCCUCAGGCUGAGAGGAAGCUUCUUCCCUUUAAUACUUCUCAGUUGGAUAGCUGGACACAAAUGCCUCACUACCCUGGAAAUGGACCCAAAGGAAUCAGAAACAAAGGACGCUGAUGCUGCUUUUCAUCCUUCUGCCCAAGGAGAAUAA
Molecule: long non-coding RNA, 255 nt
Filed under: Junco hyemalis (dark-eyed junco)
Lineage: Eukaryota; Metazoa; Chordata; Aves; Passeriformes; Passerellidae
Description: lncRNA (ENSJHYG00000003474.1)
Source: RNAcentral